GUCUCCAUAAAAACCCAAAAGGACAGGGUUUGAAGAGCUUCCAAAUAGCUGAACGCAUGGAGGUUCCUGGAGGGUGGUGUGCACUGGGAGGGCAUCGAACCACUGCACCCCUGCCCAUACCUUGCCCCACGCAUCUCUUCAUCUCUAUGGAACCCAUUCUUCAAAGAAGUCGUACUCAGAAGUCUGAUACAUUAAACAUGUAAAAGCCAAGCUGCUCUGCCUGAAGCGAUGUGGGGAGCCUGGAGUCCUGCUGAGGAAGGGUAUUUUGACCAUGCUGUUUAAUGCGUGUCACUGAUUAGAGGAACACUUUUAGAUUGGAAAGAUUUUGAUCAUCUCAAAAGUCUUGGAUAUAAAAAUUCAGUCUGUGUGGCAGGGAACAGCUCACUCCUGACUGGUUGAAGAUAGGAGGUUGAAGAAAUAAAUGAACUUGAAGCAGACUUGAAGUUUCAUGCCUGAGAUCCUAAAGCUUUGAAGAAGUCAGCUGCCAUGCUGUGGGAUGGCCUAUGGAGAGAGCCAUGUGGUAAAGAACUGUGGGCGGCUUCUAGGUGCUGAGUGUUACCCCAGCUGACAGCCAGCAAGAAGUCAGGGACCUCCAUCUUACAGCUGCGAGGAGAUGAAUUCUGCCAAGAACUGAAGGAAUGCAGAAAUGGACCCAUCCCAAAUUGGGCCUUCAGAUGAGAACAGCCCUGACCAACACCUUGAUUGUAGCCUCACAGAGGACCCAGCUAAGCUAUGCCUGGACUCCUAACCCACAGAAACUGUGAGAUAGUAAUUGCGUGUUGUUUUAACCUGCUAAGUUUGUGGUACUCUGUUACACACAAUACAUAAUAGCUCACAUUCUAUUUUUACUUUCUUGUUCAAAUGUAAGUGUAAGAGAGAGAUGCUUGUUUGACAAUCUCUGUUUUUCUAACAGCUAUCUGUGUGCUCUUUUUGUGAGUAGGUUGAUGGGGGGUGUGACAUGGACUGGCAUGAUGACAAAUCAUAACAAGGCUGAGAACAGGUAUGAAUGGAGAUCCCUGAGACGAUGCGCCCCUGCUUAAGUGAGGAGAUGCACUAGCCCCACCCUACCCCAUCCCUCCAUUUUUACCAAAUUGUCACCUUCAUUGGUGAUACUCCCAUUGGUCAGGCUGCAGAUUUGUCCCCAGGGGGACAUGAGAACUAGGCUUGUUUUCCAGGUGCCAGAGCCUCAACUCAUAAUUUGUGUUGUUUGAGGGACUGAUGUAAGAAAAGAUGAAUAGAUAGAUGGAUGAAUUGGAACAGACAGUCACCUCCAAUAGGAAAAGAAAAAGCCUCCAAGUCACCCUGCCUGGGGCUGCUUCACUGCUUUGCAUCCAUGCACAAAGGACAUCUUGUCGUGGUCAUUACUAAGCCAGUCAGUUUUCUCUCUCACUCUUAACCCCACCCAAGUUUCUCCAUUUACGAGCAUGUCUCACAGUUGUAAAAUAAUAAUAAAAAUAAUAUUAAAUCUCAAGACACCCUGUGAAAAUGUAAUGAAAAUCCACUACCAAAUACACUACCGAUUAAUAAAAUUCAGUAAUUUUUAUUCCUGUGCUGGGAAGCUAAGUUAGAGGACAUGGGAAAUAGAGAACUAUGCUAUAAAAAAUAGAACCAAUGGCAUUAAUUCUCUUAAAUAAUCAAAAUUUGACUGGUGAUUUUCCUGAUUUAUGUCACUCUUUAUUGUAAGCCAACAUGCACAGUCCAGCUUGAAUCUGCAAGAGUCAUAAAGGAAACCUCAAGUGGAUGUUCAUACUACAGUCCUCCUGGGGCAUAAACAUUAAUGGUUCAUAGAAGAAAAUAGAAUUAUCAGCUUUCACUGCUUAAAUGCCUUUUAUCUCUACUGUACAUACAUUCUGACAGAGUGAUUACCCUAAUCUCAAGUGUUGAGAACAAAUUAGUUCAUUUUAAAAUUCAUUAUUUACAAAGGAUUUAGUUCAAUAUUGAGUUUCUAAAUGAACCUCUACAUCACGUAAGAUUAAAUCCAGCCCCAGUGUAUCCGGGGUGUGAAUAGUAGUAGAUGAUGGAGAGGCAUAGAAUGUAUCAAAUUCUAUAGUAGUCAUAGUCUCACAAAUAAUUGGCACAGAUUUUUUUUCUGGCAAAUAACAAACUACCACUCAAGCCAGUUUCUUAUGAAAAAUAAAAAAUCAGAAUCAAUUUCUAACUUUGUCUUGUAAUUAUUUAUAUUAAGUAACAAAAUCUUGAAUUCUAAAUACUGACUCUUCUCAACUCUGUACAAAAUUCUGGCAAAUUCAAAAAUCUAUGCUUGCAUCAUUUACCUAUAUUAAUCCUCCAACGUGAUGUUUAAAAAGCCCAAAAUAUUCUGCAACCAGAACAAUGUCUAAUUUGCUUCUCAAACCUAUAGAAAUUGUGUUUGUUUUCAGUAAGUGUAAAAAUGUAUGAGACAAAUGUUCCUUACUGGCCCAUGGAAGGUAGGGUUUUGGGAAAGAAAGAUAAUGUACAUGCU
This 2461-nucleotide long non-coding RNA is filed under the name Homo sapiens (human). RNAcentral describes it as "HSALNT0187261". The record is from RNAcentral. Lineage: Eukaryota; Metazoa; Chordata; Mammalia; Primates; Hominidae.